Molecule: ribosomal RNA, 134 nt
Filed under: uncultured eukaryote
Lineage: Eukaryota
Description: partial 18S ribosomal RNA
Rfam family: Eukaryotic small subunit ribosomal RNA
Source: RNAcentral
UGGUGGAGUGAUUUGUCUGGUUAAUUCCGAUAACGAACGAGACUCUAUCUUGCUAAAUAGUCGCAGUUUACUCUGACUGCUGAGCUUCUUAGAAGGACAGGGGGUCAUAACCCCCACGAGAUUGAGCAAUAACA